CACGCAAUGCAGGCUCUGUAGCUCAUGUGUGCGUGUAUAUGUCUAUAUAUUUAUAUCGAUAUGGUCGUACGCAUAUUAUAUGAUAUAUAUGUUUGCAUAUACUUGUAUGCAUACCUACGCGCAUAUAUAUAUAUAUAUAUAGAGAGAGAGAGAGAGAGAAACAUAUACUUAUAUGCAUACCUACGCGCAUAUAUAUAUAUAUAUAUAUAGAGAGAGAGAGAGAGAGAGAGAGAGAGAGAGAGAGAGAGGAACGUGGAGCUUAACUAUUUCGUGGUGACGUGGAUAAGUACGUGGACAGUUAGUUAUGCAUACCUACGCGCAUAUAUAUAUAUAUAUAUAUAUAUAUAUAUAUAUAUAUAUAUAGAGAGAGAGAGAGAGAGAGAGAGGAACGUGGAGCUUAACUAUUUCGUGGUGACGUGGAUAAGUACGUGGACAGUUAGUUAUUUUCGGUAGUGAUGUGGAUCUUCAUUUUAGCUUUGGAAUCCAGGUAGGGGAAAUAAGGCAAACCUUUACGGAAAUUGAUUUUAUUAAAUUUCGUGAAGUGAUAAUAUUCUUAAUCUUUUUGGUUGAUUAAUGUGGUUGAAUAGUUAUUGACUAAUUGCUUUUGUUAAGUGUUUACUUGUGAUUGGUUAUGGAAUUAUUGCUGAAAUGUUAUUCGUUGAGAAUAUACUAUGAUACAUAUGGAAGAUGAAUUGAUAUUAUUUGUGUCCUUCAUGUUGAUGUGGUGGGAAUUUCAGUAUUCAUAUUGGAAGUAUGGAAAUGAGGGUAGUUGGAAAGGAUCUUUUGUGUAGUUGAAUCUAUUCAUUGUGAAACCAGUUCCAAGCGAGCCCGAUGUGCACAGUAGAAUAGGAUAUCGACGGGAAUUGUCGAUGUGGGUGAUUUGGGCUGGAGAUCAAUGAAUUAGAUAAGAUGACUAGCAAAAGGGGUUUAUGAACUUGGGAUAUCAUAUGGGGGUUAGUUUCUAUAAUAGAACAUUCAAACCACCUCUACAGGGGUAAAAUGCAUGGUAUGGGAUGUGCAGGUUCACGUGUUUUAUUUUAUAAAUUAACGGGGGUAACUGAAGAGGUUGCAUGGCAUUCAUGCAUCGUUAUAAUUGCUGUUUUGAGAUUUGGCUAUAUGAUUUCAUGAUACUUAAUUUAAUAUUGUCAAUUUACUGUGAUAAGGUUAUGUCCCUACUGAGCUAUUGAAGCUCAUCCCUUUAUUAUUAUGCAGGUUUAUGAACUAGACGUUCAAGUGAAUAGGCAAGAUGAGAUCGGAUUAGAUUGGAAGAAUAAAAAUUUUAUUCAUCUCUUUACUGUAGGUUGUAAAGAAUUCUUGAUUUGUUUGAUAAUCAUGAAUUAUUUUUAAUAAGAGGAGUUAUUUUCCAACCCGUGUCAAAUUUUAUUUAUUUAUUGAGCUUUUAACUCACGUUUCAGAUUCGGGUUCGAGUUUUAUUACUGACUCCGGGUCUUGGGCGUGACAGAAUGGUAUCAGAGCAUAGGUAUUAGACACCCAUGGAUAAGAACUAUGGGAGAAGAUUAGCAUAAGCCAGAUAAGUUUGAAUUUAGAAGAGUAUGUGCGAUGGGUUUUGUUAGUAAAGGUUUUGGGUGGCCUCUAGUGAUAUGUAAAGUGUACGAAUAGACUUAAAUGUGAAGUCAGCUUUUGCAAAUGAUCUUGACAAUUGAAUUUAUAUGUGGAUCUUUUGAGAAAGGAAAUUAAGUUUGAUCCAAAAACGAAAAGGAUGAAAGUUAAGCAAUGCAUGCCUAUAACUUUAAGGUGAAUUUUUCAGGUGAAAUGGGUUCAGGAGUGACUAAAGGAUGAGAGAACUUGAAAUGUGGAGUUAAUAGUCAUGAUUUGGUGAGAAUGGUAAGAAACUAAAGUGUUUUGUUUGAGAAGUUAGUGUGUACUCAACUCACUUGACUCUGAACAAUGAAGCAUACAUGAGUAUAUAAGCAAAUUCUACCAAAGGAACUUCUUGAGAAAAUUGGUCAGUUAGUUGAGGGAUUAGAAGCGAUCUUAGAGUUAAGAAUUGAAUGAGACGAGAAUUUGACACGACAUAGAGUUUUGAAAUUUCUGGUGUUAUCUUGAUCUCGAGAAAUGGACAGGUAGGAAGGAUUUUAUGCAAAGGAUUUUAUAAUAAGUUAGUUACAUACAAUCUUGGAAUGAUUGUAUAUGCAGUGUGUAACUACUGAACAAAUUGCCAGAUUUAUUCCUAAGAUGAUAGAAAGAAUUAUGAUCACUUUGGAUUUGUAAUUUUGCAAUGGAGUUAUGAAUUAGCUAGGAUUUAGGUUUGAAUUCAGUGUGGUUCACGAUUUUAGAGAAUCACUUGCAAAAUUUUUGUUAUAUACAGAAUCAUAAUUAUGAAGGAGAAUUAGUGCUUCAAUAUGAGGAUUUGGGUAUUUAUAAACUGAUCAGAAGAAUUUGAGAGUACCUAUAUUGAUGCAGAAGAGUAUUCUACAUGUUUCAGUGUUGAAGAAUUCAAAGCAAUGUAUAAAUGCUUUGUAUAAUGAUAAUUAGGCUUGAAUAAAUAGUAGAGAUGAUGAAAGAUGCUCUAAGAGGAGGGAUGAACUUUGUUUGUCUGUCAGCUAGUUUGAUGAAGAUAUGACAAGUUUUGGAAAUCAAAUUAAGAUGGAGAAAAGAGCAACUGUACUGAUAAUAUCGUCUGUACGGAAUGAGAGUAAUUUUCAAUGAGUAAGAUUCGGUUAAUUUUAAGAAGAAAAAGAAUUAAGGAGUUGAGGAUUUUAGAUGAAAUGAAACCGAUCAAGAAUGGAUCAUGAUACAAUUGGUGUUAAGCUUUUGAAUAAUUAUUGCAAGAAGUUGAUGGUAUUAUGAAAGGUGGUGUAUCACUGGAAGAAAUAAAAGCUUCUUUUUGAAGAUGCAUGGUGGUGAAAAUAAGAGCAAAGGACCUAGAGGGAAUGAAAACCACAAGUAUACACUCUUGGUGAUAUAAGUAUAAAGAAAAAGUGAAAGACAGUAGAGAAAGGGAAAGUGGGAGUGCCAUAAAUUGGUGACUUGGAAUUUAGGAUUUAAUAGGAGUUUGGACUAUUAAAUUUGGACGUGGACUACUACUUGAUUGGAAUGGAGUUACUGGAAUGAGAAUUGUGUUGAAGUUGUCUUGUGGUUAGAAUUGGAAUAGAAGAAAAAGAAAUGGGUUCAAGGUAAAGUGAAGCUUAGGCUUAUUGUUUAACAAAAAGGAAAUAACAAUAACAAAUUGUGGACUUAUAUUACAAGUGAUAUUUCAAAUUAUUGUUAUAGUGUCUCAUAGCUGGUAACUAGCAUCGGAAAGUUUAAUAUGGGCCAGCCAUUGAAUAUUAGACUUAUAUAGAGUUGAUUAUGUUACUGAAGGGAUAUAAAUAUAAGGAUUGCAAUAUUAUUGAAAAUUAAUUUCAGGAUUAUUACAAGAUAUACAAGGAAAAUCGUGAUGUUGGGGAAGUGAAAGGGGUGAAUUUUCUAAAGUGGAUGACAUUGAAAGGUUUCUAAAUCUUAAGGGCGGAGAGUGAGCGAUUAAGGACUGGGAAACUGAAAUAUCAAAUUCGACUUACUGGAGAGAAAUACUUUGAUGUUAGAUUUGAUUGUUAUAAGAUGAAUUCGUACAGCAACAUUUGGCCAUUAAGUAGUAUGAGCAGAUGAUAUUUUACUUUAAGAGAAGUACUUGGAGUAUACAUAUGUUUUGGGGUUUCAAUCCAUGACCAAAGUGUGGAGAUCAAACACACAAGUGUAGUGUUGAAGUUUAGUAUGUUAGGUACACAUAUUUUGAUUGUGAAAAUAAGAUUGGAGAUUUGUUGUGCGAUGGAUAUUUGAACUUUGUUACUACACAACAUUGGAUUGUAUGAUGAAUCAGAUGAAAUCACGAAUAACGUGUGGUAAGAAUAAGAGAAUCAAUGUAGUGAACUAAGUGAUGGGUACCGAAUGAUGUAAACCAUUGAGGCAUCAGAAAUACCACCACAUGUAGCUAUGAUUCCGUUUGGAAACUAUAGUUAGGGUUUGGUUAAAUGCCCUUGUUAGUUACAAGUACUUUUAUGAGAUUGUAAUUAGAGGCAACUGUAGUUGUGGCAAAUUAAGCUUUUGAGAUUGGAGGUGCAGUCAGAAUGAUCCUAUAUACAUAAUGUACCCUAUGAAGAAGUAUUGAUUUGAAUAGUUGAAAGGAAAAUGCUUAGGAAUUGGUAAGUACCUCUUGUGAAGGUUAUAUGGCAAUACCAUGGAACUGAAGAAACCACAUGGGAACUAGACUCCGACAUGAGAAGGAAAUAUUUGCACAAGUUUAAUGUGUUGGGCAAAAUUUGAGGACAAAAUUAGAGAUUAAGAAUCUUUACAAAAUGAUGGAAGAUUGGAUCUUCUUAUUACCUUAAAGGUAAGGUACUACUAGAAAACGACAUGAGAAAUAUGAAGUUGACCAUUCGCAUCAAGGUUAGUGUACGAGUUCAAUAAGCUAUGAAGCCGAGGAAACAAUUUGGGGAUGAGAAUCCGACAUUUAGAUACCCAUCUACAUUUGUUGAGUAGUUCAGUAUUCGGUGGAAUGCACAUGCAGUAUAAAGACUGGAAAGUAUUAGCUAGUUGUUUCUUUUCUUAUUCAUGUAAUCAUUGUCAUUCGCUCGAGUUAAGGGACCAAUUGGCCACCGGAUCUUUGAUACUCUAUAGUGGAAUGUCGGUUGAUUUAUGGAAUAAGAAAUAUAACAUAUAGCAUGCUAAGAAAAUUGUGCAAAGGUACCCUCAAUUUUCUGGAGGUUUAUGUGUGUUUGACUAAGUACUAGAUAUGAACACGAGUAACCAGUUGCUUAAGAUUUCGAAUUUGACUUGGAGAAUUAGAUGAAUCGUUGCGGUACAUGCAACUAUGGAUUGACUUGGAAAUCAAAGUUCGAUCACAGGUGAAAACUUUGGACUUGUCAAGUAAUUGAGGGUUUAAAGUAAAUCUUGAGGACGAGAUUUAUUUCAAGGAGGGCGGAUUGUGAGAUCCCAAGAAUUUAUUACCAAAGAAGAAAAUUAUUUAGAAACUAUUUAUCGAAAAGGUCAUUAUAUGAAGAUAGUAGGAAUUAUUAUGAGCUCGUGGCAUUUUUGAAAUACAUUUCGAAGUUCAUAUGAAUAUAGAAUUUACAGCUGGACCAAUGAAUUGAUGACACAUGGCAGCAAUUGAGUGGCUAAGUUUGCCACAUGGGAUCAACCAACAUGCCAGCACAGACAUUUGUCAUGUUAAUAGCAUGCUAGGUGGAAAGUGAUUAGAUGAGGUAGUCAAAUUACUACACCAAUAUUAAGCAGGAGGUGGCCUUUCUUUACAUGUGGAAGUCUAAAAGUUAAUCAAACUUUCUACAAACCACAGGUGGAAGUAAGUUUACACGUGAAAUACUUCCACCUAUGGUUUGUAGAAAGUUUACAUGCACACAAAGGAGAUGCAAGUGACUCAUGGUUUUAUUAGUAGGACGUGUUUGUAUCAGAGAAACUAUUAUCCAAAGUGGAGAUAAAAAUAUCCAGCAGGUGACUUGCUUAAUGCCCAAGCCUUUAUCUAAUUGGCAUGUAGUUUGUAGCCGCCUCCUAUUGCUAUAAAUAGGAGAUCAUCUCCAUAUGUUUUCGAAGGAGAGCUAGCACGCAAUGCAGGCUCUAUAGCUCAUGUGUGCGUGUAUAUAUGUCUAUAUAUUUAUAUCGAUAUGGUCGUACGCAUAUUAUAUGAUAUAUAUGUUUGCAUAUACUUGUAUGCAUACCUACGCGCAUAUAUAUAUAUAUAUAUAUAGAGAGAGAGAGAGAGAGAGAGAGAGAGAGCGAGGAACGUGGAGCUUAACUAUUUCGUGGUGACGUGGAUAAGUACGUGGACAGUUAGUUAUUUUUGGUAGUGAUGUGGAUAAUAAGGCAAACCUUUACGGAAAUUGAUUUUAUUAAAUUUCGUGAAGUGAUAAUAUUCUUAAUCUUUUUGGUUGAUUAAUGUGGUUGAAUAGUUAUUGACUAAUUGCUUUCGUGAAGUGUUUACUUGUGAUUGGUUAUGGAAUUAUUGCUGAAAUGUUAUUCGUUAAGAAUAUACUAUGAUACAUAUGGAAGAUGAAUUGAUAUUAUUUGUGUCCUUCAUGUUGAUGUGGUGGGAAUUUCAGUAAUCAUAUUGGAAGUAUGGAAAUGAGGGUAGUUGGAAAUGAUCUUUUGUGUAGUUGAAUCUAUUCAUUGUGAAACCAGUUCCAGGCGAGCCCGAUGCGCACAGUAGAAUAGGAUAUCGACGGGAAUUGUCGAUGUGCGUGAUUUGGGCUGGAGAUCAAUGAAUUAGAUAAGAUGACUAGCAAAAGGGGUUUAUGAACUUGGGAUAUCAUAUGGGGGUUAGUUUCUAUAAUAGAACAUUCGAACCACCUCUGUAGGGGUAAAAUGCAUGGUAUGGGACGUGCAGGUUCGUAUGUUUUAUUUUAUAAAUGAACGGGGGUAACUGAAGAGGUUGCAUGGCAUUCAUGCAUCAUUAUAAUUGCUGUUUUGAGAUUUGGCUAUA
This 6433-nucleotide long non-coding RNA is filed under the name Malus domestica (apple). RNAcentral describes it as "long non-coding RNA (MDOM_LNC008040)". Lineage: Eukaryota; Viridiplantae; Streptophyta; Magnoliopsida; Rosales; Rosaceae. The record is from RNAcentral.